AGGCUCGUAGUUAAACGGCAUAACAGCGGUCUCCAAAACCGCGGUUGGGGGUUCGAUUCCUCCCGGGCCUGCCA
Molecule: transfer RNA, 74 nt
Filed under: Candidatus Woesebacteria bacterium RIFOXYA1_FULL_38_9
Lineage: Bacteria; Candidatus Woeseibacteriota
Description: tRNA-Trp
Rfam family: tRNA
About the family: Transfer RNA (tRNA) molecules are approximately 80 nucleotides in length.
Source: RNAcentral